CCGCCGAGGCUUCCGCCGAACUGCUGUUGAUUCAUCGGCAGCGUCUUGCCGGAGAGCGCGUUGGCGCGUUGAAGUUGUCGUCGCGGAGUG
RNAcentral lists this ribosomal RNA (90 nucleotides) under uncultured bacterium. RNAcentral describes it as "partial 16S ribosomal RNA". The record is from RNAcentral.